Molecule: ribosomal RNA, 779 nt
Filed under: uncultured bacterium
Lineage: Bacteria
Description: bacterial SSU rRNA
Rfam family: Bacterial small subunit ribosomal RNA
Source: RNAcentral
AGUCGAGCGGUAACAGAGAGUAGCUUGCUACUUUGCUGACGAGCGGCGGACGGGUGAGUAAUGCUUGGGAACAUGCCUUGAGGUGGGGGACAACAGUUGGAAACGACUGCUAAUACCGCAUAAUGUCUACGGACCAAAGGGGGCUUCGGCUCUCGCCUUUAGAUUGGCCCAAGUGGGAUUAGCUAGUUGGUGAGGUAAUGGCUCACCAAGGCGACGAUCCCUAGCUGGUUUGAGAGGAUGAUCAGCCACACUGGGACUGAGACACGGCCCAGACUCCUACGGGAGGCAGCAGUGGGGAAUAUUGCACAAUGGGCGCAAGCCUGAUGCAGCCAUGCCGCGUGUGUGAAGAAGGCCUUCGGGUUGUAAAGCACUUUCAGUCAGGAGGAAAGCNUGGUGGUUAAUACCCGUUAUGUGUGACGUUACUGACAGAAGAAGCACCGGCUAACUCCGUGCCAGCAGCCGCGGUAAUACGGAGGGUGCGAGCGUUAAUCGGAAUUACUGGGCGUAAAGCGUACGCAGGCGGUUUGUUAAGCGAGAUGUGAAAGCCCCGGGCUCAACCUGGGAACUGCAUUUCGAACUGGCAAACUAGAGUGUGAUAGAGGGUGGUAGAAUUUCAGGUGUAGCGGUGAAAUGCGUAGAGAUCUGAAGGAAUACCGAUGGCGAAGGCAGCCACCUGGGUCAACACUGACGCUCAUGUACGAAAGCGUGGGGAGCAAACGGGAUUAGAUACCCCGGUAGUCCACGCCGUAAACGAUGUCUACUAGAAGCUCGGAGCCUCG